Sesamum indicum (sesame) is the source of this 147-nucleotide non-coding RNA. The record is from RefSeq and is a predicted model, not a curated record. NCBI's taxonomy places the organism in Eukaryota, Viridiplantae, Streptophyta, Magnoliopsida, Lamiales, Pedaliaceae.
UCUUGACUCCAUGAGCCUCAAAGAUCUUCAGAAUCUUGAACAACAACUUGACACUGCUCUCAAGAACAUCCGAUCUAGAAAGAAUCAACUCUUGUACGAUUCCAUCUCCGAAUUGCAGCGAAAGGAAAAGGCAAUACAAGAGGAAAA